This 1207-nucleotide long non-coding RNA is filed under the name Anolis carolinensis (green anole). RNAcentral's name for it is "lncRNA (ENSACAG00000039428.1)". Lineage: Eukaryota; Metazoa; Chordata; Lepidosauria; Squamata; Anolidae. The record is from RNAcentral.
AUGACUGCUAUCCUGCUACUCAACAUAGCCUGCCUUCUUAGUUUCUGCCUGCCUUUGGCAGAGCCGUGUAAGUUGGCCAUCCAACCCAAGGCACCGAUUGUGGAAUUUGGGGGCUCUGUAAAACUCAACUGUACAUCCACCUGCACCAACUACACUAAAGUGGACUGGGAGGUGUCGUUUGCACGAGAUGUCAAGGAAGGAGAAGGGUGGAUUUCUCUGAACAUCAAGAACGUGACAGAAUGGACCACUCAACCAUUGUGUGUGGCUAGAUACAAGGAAUCAGACUCCAUCCACACCAGGGCAGUAAUCUAUGUUUACCAAUUCUCAACCCCAGAUAUCUACCUGGCUUCUGAGAUUGAGAGCGGUCGCUUGGACAAAAUAAUCUGCAACAUUUCUAGCCUGCGGGUGAGAGAUGAAAUCUCACCUAAGGUCAGCAUCUCCCUCAGCAGAGGUGCAACUCUCCUGAAUAGCAGCUAUGGUGAACCUUCAUUGGAAUACAGUUUUGUGGCCAGCCUUAAUCGAGACGAUGGGGCUGCGAUCAUUUGUAUGGCCUGGGUCGAGGUGGGCUCAGAGGUGUUGAAUAAGAGUGCAACAAGGACCUUGAAUAUUGUGGGUGAGUUCCAUUGCAGCAUAGCUGCUGUUGGCUCAGUUCUUGGAGCCCAGCAAGGUAAAGUGGAUAGACUUGGAGCAAUGGGUUCAAAUUACAGGAAAAGAGAUUCCACUUGAACAUUAAGGAGAACUUUCUGACUGUAAGAGCUGUUCAACCAUUAUUUAUUUGUUUGUUUAUUUAUUACAAACAUUUUAAUCCCGCCCUUCUCACCCCCGUGGAGGGGACUCAGGGUGGCUUACAACCAAAUAUAAAACAGAAUAUAUAAAAACAAUUACAAUUAAGCAGUAACAUCAAUUAAAACAUCCACAUAAUAUACAUUUAAAGGCCCAUUCCGAAUCAAAUCCAGGUCUGUCAGUUCUUCGUCAUAUGUUCAAUACAGUUAAUGCUGCAUCUGUCGCUCAAAAGCCUGGUCCCAUAACCAAGUUUUAAGUUUUUUAUGAAAAGACAAGAGAGAGGGAGCCUGCCUGAUCUCAUUAGGGAGGGCAUUCCACAGAUGAGGGGCCACCACCUCAUCUCUCAUCCCCACCAGUUGUGCUUGUGAGGGUGGUGGGAUCAAGAGCAGGGCCUCCCCCAAAGAUCUUAAACUGCGAGGUUGGU